RNAcentral lists this ribosomal RNA (389 nucleotides) under Syndiniales sp. RNAcentral's name for it is "partial small subunit ribosomal RNA". It matches the Rfam family "Eukaryotic small subunit ribosomal RNA", at positions 582 to 975 of the family's 1831-position model. The record is from RNAcentral. Lineage: Eukaryota; Dinophyceae; Syndiniales.
AUUCCAGCUCCAAUAGCGUAUAUUAAAGUUGUUGCGGUUAAAAAGCUCGUAGUUGGAGUUCUGCCAGGUGCCACCUGUCCGCCCCAGUGGUGAGUACGUGGUGCGCAUUUGGCCCUUUCAAGGGGAGCGUAUUUGCACUUAAUUGUGUGGUGCGGGAUCCUUGACUUUUACUUUGAGGAAAUAAGAGUGUUCCAAGCAGGCUCUCGUCGUGCAUAGCUCAGCAUGGAAUAAUAGCAUUGGACCUCGAUUCUAAGCUGUUGGUUGCCAGAAGCGAGGUAAUGAUGAAGAGGGAUAGUUGGGGGCAUUCGUAUUCAGUUGUCAGAGGUGAAAUUCUUAGACUUCCGGAAGACGAACUACUGCGAAAGCAUUUACCAAGGAUGUUUUCAUUA